CCUACGGGAGGCAGCAGUGGGGAAUAUUGGGCAAUGGGCGCAAGCCUGACCCAGCAACGCCGCGUGAGCGAUGAAGGUCUUCGGAUUGUAAAGCUCUGUCGCAAGGGACGAAGUAUGACGGUACCCUGUAAUAACGCCCCGGCAAACUACGUGCCAGCAGCCGCGGUCAUUCGUAGGGGGCUAGGGUUGUCCGGAAUUACUGGGCGUAAAGGGAGUGUAGACGGCUUGUCAAGGUAAGUGUGAAAUCCUGCGGCUUAACCGUAGAAUUGCACUUAAAACUGACUCGCUAGAGUGCAGGAGAGGUGAGUGGAAUUCCGAGUGUAGCGGUGGAAUGCGUAGAUAUUAGGAGGAACACCAGAGGCGAAGGCGGCUCACUGGACUGUAACUGACGUUGAGGCUCGAAAGCGUGGGGAGCAAACAGGAUUAGAUACCCCAGUAGUC
RNAcentral lists this ribosomal RNA (441 nucleotides) under uncultured bacterium. Its description in RNAcentral is "partial 16S ribosomal RNA". It matches the Rfam family "Bacterial small subunit ribosomal RNA", at positions 338 to 795 of the family's 1533-position model. The record is from RNAcentral.